UACGUAGGGGGCUAGCGUUGCUCGGAAUCACUGGGCGUAAAGGGUGCGUAGGCGGUUUUUUAAGUCCGGGGUGAAAUCCUGGAGCUCAACUCCAGAACUGCCUUUGAUACUGAAGAUCUUGAGUUCGGGAGAGGUGAGUGGAACUGCGAGUGUAGAGGUGAAAUUCGUAGAUAUUCGCAAGAACACCAGUGGCGAAGGCGGCUCACUGGCCCGAUACUGACGCUGAGGCACGAAAGCGUGGGGAGCAAACAGG
Molecule: ribosomal RNA, 253 nt
Filed under: uncultured bacterium
Lineage: Bacteria
Description: partial 16S ribosomal RNA
Rfam family: Bacterial small subunit ribosomal RNA
Source: RNAcentral